UAACAAGAUGCGUAACGCCAUACGAU
This 26-nucleotide non-coding RNA is filed under the name Drosophila erecta. Lineage: Eukaryota; Metazoa; Arthropoda; Insecta; Diptera; Drosophilidae. RNAcentral also lists the same sequence under 1 other name. The record is from RNAcentral.